UGAAUAUUCUAGACAGAUGUGUGGUAUACGGGGUAUAUACUAUUAUUAGUAUAGUCACAUGAGUGGGAUAUAAGUAUUUAGAAUAUAGGCUCAGGCAGGAUAGUCGACCAAAAGACUUUUACUUGUAUAUUUGUGAUAAGUGAUUUAAUUAUUAUAAGACUUGUUUGUGAAUCAAGGAGUUUAGAAGAUUUCUGAAGUGUUGUGAAUUGUGAUAUUUUCUUGUGAAAAAAACCCUGAUAAACAUUAAAAAAAAUUCAUAAUGGCUGAAUAUGAUGAUAUGAGCUGGCACACACCCAUGUUUGUGGAUAGAAUUUUAGCACAAAUAGAAACAGCGAGAGAAGGAGCAGAUUUAGAAGAAAAUACAAAACCAUGUUCUGAAAUGGAAGACUUCAUCUUUAAAAAAUCAGGAACGAGGGAAGAAUACAUGGCUCUGAUUGCCCGACUAAUUAUGUACUUACGUGAAAAAUCUAGAGCAUCCUCAAACAUUGACUCUUACUCAUUACCUGCAGCUAAAAGAGAGGAACUUGCGCAACGUGUAACAGAAGUGACGUCAGGUGCCAGCUAUCAGACAGAUGAGAGUUAAUUUAGAACAAGUUAUGAAUGUCUCAAGAUGAAGAAAAAAAAAAAAAAUUAAAAAUAUACACUUGUGUAAAUUGUCAUCUAUAGCUGGGAUAGAUUUAAAACUGAUAGUCUCGUAAAUACACCAAUGCUUAGAUAUAGAAUAGAUUAUAAUAGUGACUUUCUCGUUCACCAGAUUAAAAUAUCUAGCUGUAAAUACAAAAUCAUGCGUAAACUACAUUAAUAAAAAUUCAAAAUUUAAUUUCUGAUUGGAAAAUUACCACAGUCAAAAUAACUUAUUUAAAUUGCUAAUAUACACAGAUUGAUAAAUGUUCUUCUUUCAAAGACAUUUAUUAAUUGGUUAAUUGGACAGUAUCACAGUAAAACUAUUGAUGGUAUUAAACAAUCACAGGUUUAUUAAACAUACAUUAUGGAAGAUUAGAUAAAGAGCUGACAGUUCUCACUAUAAUAGUUAAAAAAUAGAUAAUAUAAUGGGAAUAUGCUGAAAAUUUCAAAUUACUUCACCCUGAGCCGAGAAAUACUUCCGGUAAUUUCAAAAACACUGUAGCCUUGAUUGUCAUUGUUACCAUUGUUACGAUAAUAAACAAAGUCUUGAUCAUCCAUUUUUAUGUUUAAUCAUCAACAGCUGUUGAGCGUUGAGCGACAGAUCAGAUUCAAUUCUAAUGAAAAUUGGACUCAUCCGAUGGCAUCGAGAGAUAAUUAUGGGCUUGUCAUGUUAAUAAAUAUCUAAUUAAUAGUUUAUAUGACAUCUCAGACCCAAAGAAAGACCUACAAUAGGCAGAUUUAGCUCUUGCAUAAUGUAUGUUUAAGAAUUGAAUAUCAUUGUCGAAACGUUGCAUGUUAAUAAACCAGUAAUUGUUAAUCUAUGUAUAGUUUUAGUGUUUUACUGAUAAAUGUGUCAAAUUAAUUAAUUAGCUUUCAAUUCAACAUAAUUUUUAUUAUCUUGCCGUCGACAUGUUUUUUGUUUUAUAUAAUGUUAAACUUAAUGUUGGUUAAAGGAGGUGAUCAUUUGUUUAAUUGUUUUGUUGUAAAUCAUGGUCUCAUCGUUGGUGUCAUUAAAUAUUUUUAUUUUUAUUUCAUUUGAAGUAAAUUAUGGUAGAUAAUUCAUUCACUGCUAGCUUAAUUUUAUUUUAUUCUCAAAUAUUUUAUUGUCGAAAUAAUAUAAGAAUAGAAAUUUUUAAAAUUGUGAUUUUAUUUUUUAAAGGAGAUCCAAUUUGGUAUUUUUAGGGAAGGGAAACAACUCUGUAUUUGGAGGGUGUGCAAUUUGGUAAUGUUCCUACAUAUAAUACACCAUUCAUGUAAUAUCACACAGACAAUGAAAGUUAUAUGGAAAGGUUAAUACCACAAAAUAUGACAUUGCUGAUUGGCAAUAUUACAUAUUUUGGCAGAUAAAAUUAUAUAAUAAAGACACAUUUGAAGCAAAAAUAUUGAAUACACAUUGUCUGAUGUUGCACCCCUCGGAUACAACCAUAUAUAGAUAAUGGUACAGACACUUUAUGGUUGUCAUUUUAUACAAUUAAAUUUUUAAGAUUAUUUUAUAAGCAGGCUUUAGAAAUCUCACUCUAAAUUAUUUCCUGGAAUAUGUCCAUAAUAAUAUUUGCUCAUAUAACAGCAGCAUAUAAUAAAUGCAUGUAUAUAUAUUAUUCUAAUUUGAACAUAUUUAUUUAAAUAUUUUACGAAUGUCAUAAUAUUUCAAAAUGUGUUGUACAUGUAUCUGAUAAAAGACUUUUCCAUCUCUGGAAAGUAGGCCUACUGUACACAUUUCGAUUUUGAAAAAAAAAAAAAAGUCAAAUAUGAUCUACCGGUAUUUACUAUGAGCAACCAAUCAGAUUAAAACACAGAUCCUAUUUCGUUUCGUUUUUUAUAGUUCAAAAUUUUGUUUUACUUGUCUUUAUUACACAAGGAUCUGGAAGAGUUGUUAUAUUACCGACGUUCUGGAUGAAGUAAGGGAUUAGCCAAUGAAACAGUCUGUUAUGGCGAGUUCUUGGCGUGCGAUGCACGGAACUGUGGGUAAACCAAUAGAAACGUCAACACUGAUUGAUUAAUCAAUGUCUGAUGUCAUAGAAUCAAAAGCCGCUUGUACAACUGGUCAGAUCUUAAUGUAGUGUAGUAUAAAAAAACAAAA
Long non-coding RNA from Patella vulgata (common limpet), 2704 nucleotides. RefSeq lists it as uncharacterized. The record is from RefSeq and is a predicted model, not a curated record. Lineage: Eukaryota; Metazoa; Mollusca; Gastropoda; Patellidae. The transcript has 7 exons.